Molecule: ribosomal RNA, 497 nt
Filed under: uncultured bacterium
Lineage: Bacteria
Description: partial 16S ribosomal RNA
Rfam family: Bacterial small subunit ribosomal RNA
Source: RNAcentral
GAUGAACGCUGGCGGCGUGCCUAAUACAUGCAAGUCGAGCGAACAGAUGAGGAGCUUGCUCCUCUGACGUUAGCGGCGGACGGGUGAGUAACACGUGGAUAACCUACCUAUAAGACUGGGAUAACUUCGGGAAACCGGAGCUAAUACCGGAUAAUAUAUUGAACCGCAUGGUUCAAUAGUGAAAGACGGUUUUGCUGUCACUUAUAGAUGGAUCCGCGCCGCAUUAGCUAGUUGGUAAGGUAACGGCUUACCAAGGCGACGAUGCGUAGCCGACCUGUGGGGGUGAUCGGCCACACUGGAACUGAGACACGGUCCAGACUCCUACGGGAGGCAGCAGUAGGGAAUCUUCCGCAAUGGGCGAAAGCCUGACGGAGCAACGCCGCGUGAGUGAUGAAGGUCUUCGGAUCGUAAAACUCUGUUAUUAGUGAAGAACAAAUGUGUAAGUAACUAUGCACGUCUUGACGGUACCUAAUCAGAAAGCCACGGCUAACUACGUG